ACGGUUUACGUUGAUAAUAAUAAAGCUUUUGCACUUUUUCUUUUAUCUUCUUAAGCUAUCAUGUGAUACAAUAAGGAGGGGUAAUAGAGUCAAAAGAAGCACACUGCGGGGAGAAGGAAAAUAUGGCUCCAACUAACUGGAAGCAAAAAAUAAUGCAGAAGAAGGGAAUAUCAAUAGCUGGAAGGAACUAAGGGAGGUCGUUGAGCAUUGUGAUCAGUAAAGUUCCAUAUUUCCAUUAAUUCUUCUUCUUCCUUCAAUUUGUUUGAGUAAAAUUACUGUACACACAACAAAAAAAACCCCGCAACCCCCAAAUUAUAGUAUCAUACUUAUACUUACAUAUCUUCACUUUGAAUUAUUUCUCUGAGAUCGUAUUAUUUGGUGCCUUCAUUGACGACAUGGCUAAGAACACUUGUUUGCAGUCUAUGUAAGCCGCCAUCAAUAAACUCGUUGAGCAAUCCAAUGGUCACCAUGAACAACUCGCUACGAUUACACAAUCCCUGGCGUCAAUUCAGAUACAGCUCGCCCAGAAGUUCGAAGAGUCACCGCGUUAACCUUCCCCCUCUCUCCAUUUUCGUUGCUCCGCAACAAAUGAAAGUUGAUUUUCCGUGAUUCUCGGGCAGGGAUGACGUAUUCCAAUGGAUCUUCCGGGCUGAGAGAUUUUUCAGGAUCUAUGAUAUUCCUGAGAAUCAGAGGCUCUAUUUGGUUGUUGUUGGCCUCGAGGGCAGGGCCCUGGCAUGGUUCCAAAUAUGGGAAAAAUUGGAUCAGGAAGACAGGCUCAACCUCAGCCUCAGCAGCCUUAGACGUCCAAAGUAGACAAUAAUUAGGCCCAAGAGUCAGGAGAGUGUAAGUGCUGAGACAAUGGCAACUGCAAGUAGUGGCACAACUUCCAGAAUGUUCAAAUUCAUUCCAACUCCCAGACUGAACUUCUCUAAGAAGAAAUGAUGCCUUCUUGAAAUUUAUUGUGAAGGGGACAAGACCUUGUUUUAUUAUUUUGAAGAAAAUAGACCUCUACUUUUAAUACUUUUUGUCUUACCACUUUAAAUCAGUGUGUGUAGAAGGAAAAAGACCUUCUUUGGUUUGUUUUAUAUAGCUACUCAACUUAGCUACUUAUGGGCAUACUCUAUUUUGAUGCUACUUUAUGUUAACAUUUUGA
This is a non-coding RNA of Arachis ipaensis, 1153 nucleotides long. The record is from RefSeq and is a predicted model, not a curated record. NCBI's taxonomy places the organism in Eukaryota, Viridiplantae, Streptophyta, Magnoliopsida, Fabales, Fabaceae.